CCCAUUCUACUAUAGACAUAAUUGUAAUCAUCAAAGUUAAAAGCUAAGAUAUAUAAUUAUUUAGAUAACUUCAUUUAUCCACUACUUUUAGAUUCUGAGAGUAGCAAGGGAGCUAUUGGUUUUGCAAUGCUGUUUUUGUUUUUCCUUUUUUCUGGUUGUGGACAUGUUUCUUCCUAGUAAACUUGCUCCGAUGUAUAAGUGUAACAUCUUUUCUAUAAGCUCUUGAUGUAUAGAUAUUAUUUUUUUAAGUUGUAAUUUUUGAUUUUCGACGCCAUUUUUUAAAUAAAAGCACAAAGUGGGAAAAAACGUAGGAAAACGUACAAUUUCACUAUUUCAUUAAUUCUUAAAAACACGGACGACGUUUUCUACUAGAAAAAAUGGUUGUAUUGAAAUAUUACAAGACAACUUUUUAUUUACUAUAUUAACAUUUGAGCUUUUAAGGAAUUUUAAUUUUGGGAGUUUGUUGUUAUUCGAUAAUUAAUACAUAUAGAGACUUGAAAUUUGGUAAUAAUACUUAUAUUGGACUUAGACGUGGUAAAAUUUCUAAAAUCAUCGGACGACUUUUUUUUUUUAAUAAACGUUUUGAAAUCAAAUUUAAACGAAAAUAGCAAAAAAAAAAAUUACGUCACUUCAAGCUAUGUAAUACCGAACUGCGCUCAGAAUCAUCUUUCGUCAAGCAAUGGUUUAUCGUUUCUUACAGAUGUAAAUGAAAUAACCUUAUAUAUCCUACCUUCCCAAUUUUUCAUCCACAACAGUGGCCGCUCUCGUCUCCAGUAUUAGUUCUUUUUUUUUUUUAUUGUUAUAAAUUUUUAAAAUCAUUAUCGACGGAUAUCUGUUCGUUAUCUAUAUUAUAUUAAGUGUAGGGGUUCUAUUCCCAGUAGGUUAUCAUUUGUAUUUUUUUUUUGUUCUAAUAAUUUUCUUCAGUGUUACAUAAAUACGCGUCUAUAUAUGUUUACUGUUUUAUA
Cinara cedri is the source of this 965-nucleotide non-coding RNA. The record is from the annotation of a GenBank genome assembly. Lineage: Eukaryota; Metazoa; Arthropoda; Insecta; Hemiptera; Aphididae.